Molecule: unclassified non-coding RNA, 436 nt
Filed under: Hevea brasiliensis (rubber tree)
Lineage: Eukaryota; Viridiplantae; Streptophyta; Magnoliopsida; Malpighiales; Euphorbiaceae
Source: RNAcentral
UUUCUCCUCCCUAAACAUUGUUUCCAGUCAGUCCUGUCAUUAGUCACCAUCGCCUCCUUCGUCAACACAUCCUCACAGCCCCAGGCACAACAAUCAUCUUCUUCUUAUUCCUCCUCCAGCAGAGAUUCAAUAAAUGCGCUUUUAAAGAAGGCAGCCACUUGCCAACCCUUCGACAUACAAAAAUCUCCAUCUGGCUGCCGGAGGAUUCGCGUGUCCGAUGAGUUUAUAUCGCAACUGAUGGAACAUAGCAAAAUGAAGGAGUCCGAGGAGGAUGAUGAGAGGUCAGGUAAAAGCAGAAGCAGAGUAUGCACCACUCCACAGUUACAGAAGGAUUACAGGUUGCUUGUUGGUUCUCGCGAAUGGAAACCCAAACUGGAGACGAUAAGGGAGAAAGAGAAGAAGAAGAGGCUUUCUUCAUUUGGAAUGAAGAGAAGGA